This 253-nucleotide ribosomal RNA is filed under the name uncultured bacterium. RNAcentral describes it as "partial 16S ribosomal RNA". It matches the Rfam family "Bacterial small subunit ribosomal RNA", at positions 524 to 776 of the family's 1533-position model. The record is from RNAcentral.
GACGAAGGGGGCUAGCGUUGUUCGGAAUUACUGGGCGUAAAGCGCAUGUAGGCGGAUUGUUAAGUCAGGGGUGAAUGCCCGAGGCUCAACCUUGGAAUUGCCUUUGAUACUGGCAACCUUGAGUGCGGGAGAGGUGAGUGGAAUUCCCAGUGUAGAGGUGAAAUUCGUAGAUAUUGGGCAGAACACCAGUGGCGAAGGCGGCUCACUGUCCCGUAACUGACGCUGCGAUGCCAAAGCGUGCGGAGCAAACACG